UUUCUACUUCAUUGCACAGAACCCUUGAGAACAUAUUGAUGCUCUGAAAGAUAACCCCAGAAGAGUAUGAGGAGACAUACACAGUCUACACAGAUGGGGUUUCACCGUGUCAGCCAGGAUGGUCCCGAUCUCCUGACCUCGUGAUCUGCCCGCCUCGGCCUCUCAAAGUGCUGGGAUUACAGGCGUGAGCCACCGCGCCUGGACGUUGCCGCCAUAUAUAAAGGAGUGCAAGAGUCCAUAAAACUUACUCCCUCUGCUCUUGAAGGUGAACAGCACACUUUAGUAGCAAAAGAAAAUUGGUAGUGAAAGCAAAACAAGGAAAGAAAUCUCUCUGGGCCCUGCUUCUGUUUCUCAAAAGAAUGCUGAAAGUCACCUGUUCUCCAAAGGUAUGUGCCACCAAAUCAAGGAAAAGCAAUAGAAAGCAGCCCCAAAAUGAAGAACCAGGUAUCCUUACAGGAAUAUAGUGAACCACAAAGGGCUAUGUGAAAAUGCAUUUGCUGCAAGCGGGAACAUCAGGGGAAUUUGGUGCCUCCAACCAAGUUAACAUAUCUUUCAAUCACUUGUGAUAUUGCAGAAUAAUGGCAACUACCAUGGAAA
Molecule: long non-coding RNA, 597 nt
Filed under: Homo sapiens (human)
Lineage: Eukaryota; Metazoa; Chordata; Mammalia; Primates; Hominidae
Description: non-protein coding lnc-MSR1-2:3
Source: RNAcentral